This 407-nucleotide ribosomal RNA is filed under the name uncultured bacterium. Its description in RNAcentral is "bacterial SSU rRNA". It matches the Rfam family "Bacterial small subunit ribosomal RNA", at positions 355 to 776 of the family's 1533-position model. The record is from RNAcentral.
UGGGGAAUAUUGGGCAAUGGGCGCAAGCCUGACCCAGCAACGCCGCGUGAGGGAAGAAGGUUUUCGGAUUGUAAACCUCUGUCCUGGGGGACGAAAAAAAUGACGGUACCCCGGGAGGAAGCCCCGGCUAACUACGUGCCAGCAGCCGCGGUAAUACGUAGGGGGCGAGCGUUGUCCGGAAUUACUGGGCGUAAAGGGUGCGUAGGCGGCAUGUUAAGUUGGAUGUGAAAUACCCGGGCUCAACCUGGGGGGUGCAUCCAAAACUGGCAAGCUAGAGUGCAGGAGAGGAAAGCGGAAUUCCUAGUGUAGCGGUGAAAUGCGUAGAUAUUAGGAGGAACACCAGUGGCGAAGGCGGCUUUCUGGACUGCAACUGACGCUGAUGCACGAAAGCGUGGGGAGCAAACAGG